UGGGGAAUAUUGGACAAUGGGCGAAAGCCUGAUCCAGCCAUGCCGCGUGUGUGAAGAAGGUCUUCGGAUUGUAAAGCACUUUAAGUUGGGAGGAAGGGCAGUAAAUUAAUACUUUGCUGUUUUGACGUUACCGACAGAAUAAGCACCGGCUAACUCUGUGCCAGCAGCCGCGGUAAUACAGAGGGUGCAAGCGUUAAUCGGAAUUACUGGGCGUAAAGCGCGCGUAGGUGGUUCGUUAAGUUGGAUGUGAAAUCCCCGGGCUCAACCUGGGAACUGCAUUCAAAACUGACGAGCUAGAGUAUGGUAGAGGGUGGUGGAAUUUCCUGUGUAGCGGUGAAAUGCGUAGAUAUAGGAAGGAACACCAGUGGCGAAGGCGACCACCUGGACUGAUACUGACACUGAGGUGCGAAAGCGUGGGGAGC
This 422-nucleotide ribosomal RNA is filed under the name uncultured bacterium. Its description in RNAcentral is "partial 16S ribosomal RNA". It matches the Rfam family "Bacterial small subunit ribosomal RNA", at positions 355 to 769 of the family's 1533-position model. The record is from RNAcentral.